Long non-coding RNA from Dalotia coriaria, 502 nucleotides. RefSeq lists it as uncharacterized. The transcript is spliced from 2 exons. The record is from RefSeq and is a predicted model, not a curated record. NCBI's taxonomy places the organism in Eukaryota, Metazoa, Arthropoda, Insecta, Coleoptera, Staphylinidae.
GUGAAUAACACGACGGGUUAACGAAAUUUAGUUACGAUUUGUGCCUGGUGGGGCGUGACGGUCGACUUGAGUGUUGUGUUUUUCUUUGAAUAUUGGUACUAAUAAGGUUAAUUUUUAACAAGAAACUAUCUGCUAGGGGUACUUGCAGCUAGAGCACUGCUGGUACGCGCUCAACCAGCAGAACCACCUUCCCCCACUCUUUUUUGCGGGUUGGACGCAUAGUAUGUAAGUCCUAUUGGUUCCCAACUUACCCCCACUCUGUACUCCGUAGCAGGUAUAAAAGGCGUGCCGCAGAGCAACCCUGAGGUCACUUUGUGUUUUUUUUCAUUUACUACAAACCCUGAGGUCAGUUUUGUCUCCACGGUCGAGCAUGUCCACUUCAAGGUAUCCUAACUACCAGUCUCCAGGAGUUGGGUUUUUCCGUAGGUCGCCAGCAGGAAUGGUAACCUCAAAUACGAUGUAUACUUCCCAAAAUGCAUACUAAUAAAUAUUGUAUUGCUUA